GCCGUUUGCGUGGCCGCCUCCGCGUCGGGGCGCGCGAGCCCCGGCGGCGGCGGCGGUUGCGCAGUGGAGCUACAUCCGGGCACUGGGGCAGGAUGAAUGCUCCUUUCCAAGAUGGCGGCGGAGGGAGGAGGGAAGGAGAUGAACGAGAUUAAGACCCAGUUCACCACCCGGGAGGGGCUGUACAAGCUGCUGAGCCACUCGGAGUACAGCCGGCCGAACCGGGUGCCCUUCAACUCGCAGGGCUCCAACCCGGUCCGUGUUUCCUUCGUCAACGUCAACGACCAGAGCGGCAACGGGGACCGGCUCUGCUUCAAUGUGGGCCGGGAGCUCUACUUCUACAUCUACAAGGGGGUCCGCAAGGCUGCGGACUUGAGUAAACCAAUAGACAAAAGGAUAUACAAAGGAACACAACCUACAUGUCAUGACUUCAAUCACUUAACAGCCACAGCAGAAAGUGUCUCUCUCCUAGUGGGCUUCUCUGCAGGCCAGGUCCAACUUAUAGACCCUAUUAAAAAAGAAACUAGCAAAUUAUUUAAUGAGGAAAGACUAAUAGACAAGUCCAGAGUAACCUGUGUAAAAUGGGUACCAGGUUCGGAAAGCCUUUUCCUAGUAGCUCAUUCCAGUGGCAAUAUGUACUUAUAUAACGUGGAGCACACUUGUGGUACCACAGCCCCGCACUACCAGCUACUUAAACAAGGAGAAAAUUUUGCAGUUCACACUUGCAAGAGUAAAUCCACAAGAAACCCUCUGCUUAAAUGGACAGUAGGUGAGGGUGCCCUGAAUGAAUUUGCCUUUUCCCCAGAUGGGAAAUACUUGGCGUGUGUGAGCCAGGAUGGUUUUCUUCGUGUGUUUAACUUUGAUUCGGUGGAAUUGCAUGGUACAAUGAAAAGCUACUUUGGAGGACUGCUGUGUGUGUGUUGGAGUCCUGAUGGAAAAUAUAUAGUAACAGGUGGAGAGGAUGACUUGGUAACAGUUUGGUCUUUUGUGGACUGUCGAGUAAUAGCUAGAGGCCACGGACAUAAAUCAUGGGUCAGUGUUGUUGCAUUUGAUCCAUAUACCACUAGCGUAGAAGAGAGUGACCCGAUGGAAUUUAGUGGAAGUGAUGAGGAUUUCCAAGACCUUCAUUUUGGCAGAGAUCGAGCAAAUAGUACACAAUCUAGGCUAUCCAAAAGGAACUCUACAGACAGUCGUCCAGUAAGCGUUACAUAUAGAUUUGGUUCAGUAGGCCAGGACACACAGCUUUGUUUAUGGGAUCUCACAGAAGAUAUCCUCUUCCCCCACCAACCUCUCUCAAGAGCAAGGACACAUACAAAUGUCAUGAAUGCCACAAGUCCACCCGCUGGAAGUGGUGGAGCUAACCCAGGAAGUAAUGGAAACAGUAUCACAACACCUGGAAACUCUGUACCCCCUCCUCUUCCACGGUCAAACAGCCUUCCACAUUCUGCAGUCUCAAAUGCUGGCAGUAAAAGCAGUGUCAUGGAUGGUGCCAUUGCUUCUGGUGUUAGUAAAUUUGCAACCUUAUCGCUACAUGAUCGGAAGGAAAGACACCAUGAAAAAGAUCACAAGAGAAAUCAUAGCAUGGGACAUAUAUCUAGCAAGAGCAGUGACAAACUGAACCUAGUUACUAAAACCAAAACGGACCCAGCUAAAACUUUGGGAACACCUCUCUGUCCCCGAAUGGAAGAUGUUCCCUUGUUAGAGCCUCUUAUCUGUAAAAAGAUAGCACAUGAAAGACUGACUGUGUUAAUUUUUCUUGAAGACUGUAUAGUCACUGCUUGUCAGGAGGGAUUUAUUUGCACAUGGGCAAGGCCUGGUAAAGUGGUAAGUUUUAAUCCUUAAUGCUGCAUCAAAGAACUAGAACUCUGAAUAGGUAGUUUUCUUGAAAUAUAAAUGAAUGUUGAAUAUAAAAUUUCUUUAUGCUUAAUGUAAAAAAAAAAAAAAAAAAAAAAUCCUCAGAGCCAUACUUUUGGAUACUGCAUGCCAUAUUUCUGAAUGAUUUGAAGUGUCUUGGAUACAAUUCUUAAGUAUAGCUGCCUUCCAGCAAGAGAAAUAAAUACUGUGCAACUAAACUAUUGAUUAGUGUUCUUAUACUUAAGCAUAACCACAAUAUGGUGAAAGCUAUUUAUGUAAAAGUUGAAGUAAAACAUGUCAGUCACUAAACUGAUUAUAAUCCUUCAAGUUUUCUACAAAGUAUUGCACUCCUUGUCAGAGUAGCUUAUGAAAAGCUGCUGCUUUUAAGUCUAACGAGAAAUGUGAGCUUCUGAAAAAUAAAAAAACCAAAGUGUUUUAUUCCUCCACACUUUUCUGUGGUGGUCUGCCAUUAAUGUAAAGCCACUCCUUAUUAAAAUGUCAGCUAUUUUAUGAGCAGAUUUUUCAGUCCUUUACUGACUGUAGUUUGUGCUCUUUAAAUUUUGAGUCAAUCCAUGAGACAAUACAGUGCUAUCAAGGAACUCUAACUUUAGCCAGGUCCUGAUUGAUGUAUACUUGGUUAAACUAGGGAAAGCCAUCCAAGCUUUCUCUAAAUAGCUUCAGUUUUACUUCAUUGACACUUUUGUUAGUUAAACUUGAUCAUUGACAAACUCUUUCUUGACAGCAGCUCUUCUCUCAGUAGAGCUUUCAUUAAAAUGUACUUCUAGUUUUAGCUUUUACUGUCGAUUCACUUAAACACAGAUAAAAUGUUUUUUUCUGUAGUCCAAUGUAUAGCAAGCUAAAUUUUGAAUGAAUCUAAAAGUGGUGUUUAAUUUAUAAAAAGUAGUUUGUGCUACAAAUGGCUUUGUUUGCCAGUAACGUUUUAAAGGAAUACAGCUAUGAAAACACUACCAAAGUUGUUCUACUGCAAAAGAUCAUUAUUUUUGUGAAACUUUCUGAAGUUCUGAGGCCUAGAGGUUACCAUCUGAAGAAAAAUACUCUAGUAAUACUUGAAUAUUGCCACAUUGGACAAUGUAAUGAAAAGCUGAUGUUCCUUAGUCUUAAACCAUUUGAUUUGCAAAUCUCCUUUUUGAAGUGGAGAUAGUAUGUAUGUUUAACACUAAAAUACUACAUCUUCACUGGAGUGAAAUCUUAAGUAAAACUUGAUUUUUUUCUUAAAACAGUUUGUAUAAUGCAGGUUUCUUUGAGAUGUUCUCAAAUUUGUCACAGUGUAUGUAUGCACAGAGAACCAUGUCCACUCUGCAUCUUGAUGCAUAUUUGAAGGUUGAAUCUAAAACUGAAAAUUGUAAAUCCUUUUCUGGGGAGAAGAGAGGAAGGUAUUACUUUAAAAGUUAAGAUUUUUUUGUGUAAGAACUUCAGAUUCAUCUUUAAAAAAAACAAAAACAAAACAAAACUGUCCUAAAUGAAAAUACUAAAGCCGUCGUCACUUCUGUGACUCAGUGCAAUUCAUGCUUAGGAAUUAACUUUAUAUACAUAGAGCAGUGCCUCAGAUUUCCUUUGUAACCUAUUUUGUUUUUGUUCCAAAACUUUGUGUACCACUCAACACUACACUGUUAAACUUAUUUUCAGUGGCUGAGGUGGGUUAUGUUAGACUGGCUGUAACUUAAACACAGAGGUUUUUUUGUGUAUUGACUUUGAUUUGGAAUAUGACAUUUCAAAUAUUUCAGAGAUAAAGUAUGCAGUACCAAAAAUCAGGAUUUAUGUAUUGGCCAAUAUGGAAAACUUUAAUUACAGGGUUUAUUGUCAUCCCAAAACCAGGCCAAUUCUCCAAGUGGAACUGUAGUAUAGCCAUCACACUACUGCUAGCAAAUCUCUGAAUACAGGACAAGAAGUAAUGACAGUGGAACCAGGAGCUGUUCUUCAGGCAAAGAGCAUCACAAAUUAUAAUGUGGCAGAGUGUAAACAUGGAAUUAUGUGAAUCACAUAGUAAUUUGCAAAGGAAUAAUGUGAUGAGUUCUUAUUACAGCUAAUACUGCUAGGCUGCUCACCCAAGGAAGAAUUCUCAUUAAAAAAAAAAAAAAAAAAAAAAAAGCUUCCUUUGGUACUGCAGAAAAAAUAGUAACUUUUUGGUUUUCUUUAUACUUUUCAAGUCCAGUGUAAUUUAAUCUAUAUAUAUAAAUAUAUAAAUAAAAGAUAUAUAUAUAGUGUAAAAUAAAGUAUGUUUCUUAAAUUCAAGUAAGCUCAAUGGUUAAAUUAGUACUUCACCAUUGUUUAUUUUGCACUGAUUUUUUUUUUAACCAGAGAUGGCUAGAAGACAGCCUGGAAUGCACUCAUGGAAAAUGAAAGUCAUUAUUUUCUGGCUACAAAAUGUUAUUCAGGAAGAUGGAUGCUGCAAUCAUAGAUUUUUUAAAAACAGAAUUGUUUUGCACUUAAUAGUUUAAUGCUAAUAGAGAAUUACUUUAAAAUUGGUGUCCAUACACCAAAAAAGCUAUGUUGUGGAGAAAAGAACCUUUGUAUCUAUUAAACAUUUAUUUUAAUAUUGUUGUUUCCAACUGCAAUCAACUCUGUAUUAUAUGUACAAAUAAUGUAAUUGAGUGAUGGGGGAGGGGAGUAAUGGAUUGUUACACUAGAAAUUCUCAUCCAUCAUUUAAGAAAGUGAUAUUUCUAAUUCAGAAAAUACAUAUUAAACUACCUUGAAUAUGCAUUUUGUUUACUUUCUGUUCAAAUUUGAUCAUUUUUGAUGUAAUCAAUCCUUUGUUGAAUUAAAUGUUUGGUACAGAAAUAUAAUCUAAACUUUGUAGAACAAAUUCCUUUUCAAACUUCUUACC
RNA transcript from Dromaius novaehollandiae (emu), 4697 nucleotides. It is a transcript of the gene named WD repeat domain 20, with no coding region annotated. The record is from RefSeq and is a predicted model, not a curated record. Lineage: Eukaryota; Metazoa; Chordata; Aves; Casuariiformes; Dromaiidae. The transcript is spliced from 4 exons.